RNAcentral lists this unclassified non-coding RNA (239 nucleotides) under Cortinarius sp. Its description in RNAcentral is "partial internal transcribed spacer region". The stretch from base 1 to 46 matches the Rfam family "Eukaryotic small subunit ribosomal RNA", at positions 1786 to 1831 of the family's 1831-position model. Lineage: Eukaryota; Fungi; Basidiomycota; Agaricomycetes; Agaricales; Cortinariaceae. The record is from RNAcentral.
AAGUCGUAACAAGGUCUCCGUUGGUGAACCAGCGGAAGGAUCAUUAUUGAAAUAAACCUGAUGGGUUGUUGCUGGUUCUCUAGGGAGCAUGUGCACGCCUUGUCAUCUUUAUAUCUCCUCCUGUGCACCUUUUGUAGACCUUUCAGGUCUAUGUUUGCUUCAUUUACCCCAUUGUAUGUUAAUAGAAUGUUGUGCCUAUAUAAUAUAUACAACUUUCAGCAACGGAUCUCUUGGCUCUC